AUUUGGGGUCAGUUGGUGAUUGCCGCCCUAAGGUUUGCGUUCACACUGCAGCCUGAAGUGACCCGAUGUUUCGUCAGAUCGGGUUUUGCCGUCGUUCGGCCUGUACGUGUCCCGCAUGCGCAGUAGAGGGCGCAAUAGCGUCAUCAUUCUCAGUGUUUGCGGAAGUAAACAUGGAUGCUAACGGUGGAGCCUAGCUUAGACAUUUAGGUUUCAUAAAGACACCAUGAAAUGGAUCCGUCAGCGGCGGCAGAGCGGCAGCCAUGUUGGACUGUGAAACCCAGCCGGGGUCGGACUCUCCGGGUCAGAAUGAAACUCCUGGACUUGUUUCAG
This is a long non-coding RNA of Poeciliopsis prolifica (blackstripe livebearer), 330 nucleotides long. RefSeq lists it as uncharacterized. The record is from RefSeq and is a predicted model, not a curated record. The transcript is spliced from 3 exons. NCBI's taxonomy places the organism in Eukaryota, Metazoa, Chordata, Actinopteri, Cyprinodontiformes, Poeciliidae.